Molecule: long non-coding RNA, 1301 nt
Filed under: Capsicum annuum
Lineage: Eukaryota; Viridiplantae; Streptophyta; Magnoliopsida; Solanales; Solanaceae
Description: long non-coding RNA (CANN_LNC022066)
Source: RNAcentral
ACUGAUGGACCCCACAAUCAUUGAAUAUAAGGUCAUUUCUUAGAAUUGAAAGAGGGGAUCACGACAUACUCAUACAUACAGGAAAAAAGAAGGGUCUUCUCCUUCUUUUGGAAAAAAUCACACACGCACACUCUCACCUCUCUCAAAUCCUCACAAAUCUCGCACGCACACACGCUCUCAUCGAGAAACAUACACACACGAGCACGCAGUAAAGAGAAGACGACGGAGGGGGUGGUGUUUGAUGAAAAUUCGGGCAAGAAACUGAAAAACAGCGAGAAAAUAGUUCUUUCUCCUGUUUUUCCGGCGAUAUUAGCGCCGGAAUCAGCGUCAUCGGUGUCCAGUUCAUCCAUUCAACGAGUCUAGUCCGAAAUCUCCAAAAUUUUCUCCGUAUUCCAUUGGUUUCCAGUUGAAUCUGGCCGAAAAAUAUCAGGGUUACUGGAAUUUGACCUUUUUCGUUGGUUUUUGCUUUUGUCAGCUCGCCGGAGCUUGGAUUAUACAGGCUUUAAUUUUCUUUCAUAUCCUUGGGGGUUUUGGAUUCGUCUAUUUUCUUGAUUCGGGCUUGAUAUAGUGCGUUAGGGGUUUACUUGCAAUUGAGUGGGUUCAAUAUUCGUGGUUUGGAGCUUGGUUCGUCGUGAGGAUUUCGUUUGAGGAUUUUGAUUUUUCGGACUUCUUUAUUAUCAACGAAAACAAGUGCUAUUGAGAUCCAUUUCCUUUAUCCGUUCUCUUUUUAUUUAUUUUGGUUGGUUGAAUUGGUUGUGUUUAUGUGUGGCGUGUGUUGGAUUUUGUUGAUGUUGAUAUUAUGAUCAUGAUGCUUGGUGAUUCGACUUUGGUGGUUUGAGGAAUGAAUUUGAUCAUGUUUUAAUGGUUUGGGUAGAAAGAAAUUUGGGGGGUGAAAUUGAAAAUUGACGAAAAGGUUAGAUUCGGAUUAAUUUCAAUUUGUUGUUGAUAUGAAAUGUGAUAGAAUUAUGUCUUUAGUCGAGAAUGGAUAGGCGAACGGUAGGUUCGGGUAGGCAAAUUUAGGCAUGGUGGAUUGAUGGCAUGUUUGAAAUAUGUGUUGGAAUGGUUUUGUUUUAUCGCAUUUAAUUCAAGUGUACUUAUUUGGCUUGGGAAUGCCCCGAGGUACUUGUAUCUAUUUACUGGGGAAUGCCUCGACGUAUCUUGUACGCAAAGGAGGUUCGUGAUGAAGGCCCGAGGCAUCGGGUAAAGCAUUGGAGCAUAGUUUAGGAUUAGUCUAAAUAGGAUUUCUAUUUUUGUAUUUUCUAUUCUUGGACUGUAUAAUUCGGACCGGACAUUACUCUGGU